Molecule: ribosomal RNA, 336 nt
Filed under: uncultured Fusibacter sp.
Lineage: Bacteria; Bacillati; Bacillota; Clostridia; Eubacteriales; Fusibacteraceae
Description: bacterial SSU rRNA
Rfam family: Bacterial small subunit ribosomal RNA
Source: RNAcentral
GGUUGUCGUCAGCUCGUGUCGUGAGAUGUUGGUUAAGUCCCGCAACGAGCGCAACCCUUGUGUUUAGUUGCAAACAAGGUCAAGCUGUGCACUCUAGACAGACUGCCGUGGACAACACGGAGGAAGGUGGGGAUGACGUCAAAUCAUCAUGCCCCUUAUGAUCUGGGCUACACACGUGCUACAAUGGCCGGUACAACGGGCAGCGAAGGAGCGAUCCGGAGCGAAUCCUAAAAAGCCGGUCCCAGUUCGGAUUGCAGGCUGAAACUCGCCUACAUGAAGUUGGAGUUGCUAGUAAUCGCGAAUCAGAAUGUCGCGGUGAAUGCGUUCCCGGGUCUU